UUUGGUUUUGCAAUUUAUUAGGUUGGUACAAAAGUAAUUGCUGUUUUUGUCAUUAAAAGUAAAUGUCAAAAACUGCAAUUAUUUUUGCAUCAACCUAAUAAUCAUUCUUUAUUUU
Molecule: microRNA precursor, 115 nt
Filed under: Chlorocebus sabaeus (green monkey)
Lineage: Eukaryota; Metazoa; Chordata; Mammalia; Primates; Cercopithecidae
Description: miRNA (ENSCSAG00000020790.1)
Source: RNAcentral